This is a long non-coding RNA of Cyprinus carpio (common carp), 545 nucleotides long. RefSeq lists it as uncharacterized. Lineage: Eukaryota; Metazoa; Chordata; Actinopteri; Cypriniformes; Cyprinidae. The record is from RefSeq and is a predicted model, not a curated record. The transcript has 4 exons.
AGGUUCAAGGACGUUAUGAGCCGAAAGCGUCUGUGGAGUAGGGUUUAAAUAGUAUUUGUGUUGCAGAGCUCUCCUGCUCGUGUAAUAUUGACUUAAAAGUGGAGCACAAACUGAGCGAGACCUCGCAGACAUUACAGUAUCAGUGGAAGGAACUGAACUGAUCGUUUUCAUUUUGAAUCAGCAGUUUGUCUGGACGAUAAAGGUUAUGUUCACACUGCAGAUUAAUGACGCAGAAACUGGAUUUCAGGCUAAAAUGCAAAACACAAGUGCAGCAGGACAGCGAGGAUUCAUGGAAGAAAUUGGUUUUAUAAUGAGGAGAACAAGAAGCUACUCUCUGACAUAACGCCGGGAGUGAGAUGAGCAAACACUGGGCUGCUAACAAGAGCCUGAGGGCUCAGUUAGAUGAAAGAGAUCAGACGCUGAAGGAGCUGCACCAGAGGGUUGGUGUUUUAGAGAGGGAUGUGACGAUGAAGAGGCAGCUGGUGGAGGAUCUCAGAUGCAGACUAUAGAUCUGCCAGAACACUGAGACGAGCCACAGAUCAGCG